Molecule: ribosomal RNA, 77 nt
Filed under: Sinocyclocheilus anshuiensis
Lineage: Eukaryota; Metazoa; Chordata; Actinopteri; Cypriniformes; Cyprinidae
Source: RNAcentral
GCUUACGGCUAUACAACUCUGUCUCUGCCCGAUGUCGUCUGAUCUCGGAAGCUAAGCAGUGUCGGGCCUGGUUAGUA